AGUUCGAUCCUGGCUCCGUUGAACGCUGGCGGGAUGCUUUACACAUACCGUCGAACGGCAGCACGGACUUCGGUCUGGUGGCGAGUGGCGAACGGGUGGUAAUGUAUCGGAACGUGCCUAGUAGCGGGGGAUAACUACGCGAAAGCGCCAACUAAUACCGCAUACGCCCUUCGGGGAAAAGCGGGGGACCUUCGGGCCUCGCACUAUUAGGCAGCCGUUAUCGGUUAGCUAGUUGGUGGGGUAACGGCUCACCAAGGCGACGAUCCGUAGCUGGUUUGAGAGGACGACCAGCCACACUGGGCUGAGACA
RNAcentral lists this unclassified non-coding RNA (309 nucleotides) under uncultured Bordetella sp. RNAcentral describes it as "partial 16S-23S ribosomal RNA intergenic spacer". It matches the Rfam family "Bacterial small subunit ribosomal RNA", at positions 10 to 326 of the family's 1533-position model. The record is from RNAcentral. Lineage: Bacteria; Pseudomonadati; Pseudomonadota; Betaproteobacteria; Burkholderiales; Alcaligenaceae.